This 900-nucleotide ribosomal RNA is filed under the name Myxococcus fulvus. Its description in RNAcentral is "bacterial SSU rRNA". It matches the Rfam family "Bacterial small subunit ribosomal RNA", at positions 1 to 886 of the family's 1533-position model. Lineage: Bacteria; Pseudomonadati; Myxococcota; Myxococcia; Myxococcales; Myxococcaceae. The record is from RNAcentral.
UAGAGUUUGAUCAUGGCUCAGAACGAACGCUGGCGGCGUGCCUAACACAUGCAAGUCGAGCGCGAAUAGGGGCAACCCUUAGUAGAGCGGCGCACGGGUGCGUAACACGUGGAUAAUCUGCCUGGAUGCUCGGGAUAACCAGUCGAAAGAUUGGCUAAUACCGGAUAAGCCCACGGUUUCUUCGGAGACUGAGGGAAAAGGUGGCCUCUGUAUACAAGCUAUCACAACCAGAUGAGUCCGCGGCCCAUCAGCUAGUUGGCGGGGUAAUGGCCCACCAAGGCGACGACGGGUAGCUGGUCUGAGAGGACGAUCAGCCACACUGGAACUGAGACACGGUCCAGACUCCUACGGGAGGCAGCAGUGGGGAAUUUUGCGCAAUGGGCGAAAGCCUGACGCAGCAACGCCGCGUGUGUGAUGAAGGUCUUCGGAUUGUAAAGCACUUUCGACCGGGACGAAAACCCGUAGCCCAACACGCUACGGCUUGACGGUACCGGGAGAAGAAGCACCGGCUAACUCUGUGCCAGCAGCCGCGGUAAUGCAGAGGGUGCAAGCGUUGUUCGGAAUUAUUGGGCGUAAAGCGCGUGUAGGCGGCGUGACAAGUCGGGUGUGAAAGCCCUCAGCUCAACUGAGGAAGUGCGCCCGAAACUGUCGUGCUUGAGUGCCGGAGAGGGUGGCGGAAUUCCCCAAGUAGAGGUGAAAUUCGUAGAUAUGGGGAGGAACACCGGUGGCGAAGGCGGCCACCUGGACGGUAACUGACGCUGAGACGCGAAAGCGUGGGGAGCAAACAGGAUUAGAUACCCUGGUAGUCCACGCCGUAAACGAUGAGAACUAGGUGUCGUGGGAGUUGACCCCCGCGGUGCCGUAGCUAACGCAUUAAGUUCUCCGCCUGGGAAGUACGGU